AUUGAACGCUUUCUUCCUUCCUAACACAUGCAAGUCGAGCGGAUGAAGGGAGCUUGCUCCUGGAUUCAGCGGCGGACGGGUGAGUAAUGCCUAGGAAUCUGCCUGGUAGUGGGGGAUAACGUCCGGAAACGGGCGCUAAUACCGCAUACGUCCUGAGGGAGAAAGUGGGGGAUCUUCGGACCUCACGCUAUCAGAUGAGCCUAGGGCGGAUUAGCUAGUUGGUGGGGUAAAGGCCUACCAAGGCGACGAUCCGUAACUGGUCUGAGAGGAUGAUCAGUCACACUGGAACUGAGACACGGUCCAGACUCCUACGGGAGGCAGCAGUGGGGAAUAUUGGACAAUGGGCGAAAGCCUGAUCCAGCCAUGCCGCGUGUGUGAAGAAGGUCUUCGGAUUGUAAAGCACUUUAAGUUGGGAGGAAGGGCAGUAAGUUAAUACCUUGCUGUUUUGACGUUACCAACAGAAUAAGCACCGGCUAACUUCGUG
Molecule: ribosomal RNA, 484 nt
Filed under: uncultured bacterium
Lineage: Bacteria
Description: partial 16S ribosomal RNA
Rfam family: Bacterial small subunit ribosomal RNA
Source: RNAcentral